RNAcentral lists this ribosomal RNA (807 nucleotides) under uncultured bacterium. RNAcentral's name for it is "bacterial SSU rRNA". It matches the Rfam family "Bacterial small subunit ribosomal RNA", at positions 8 to 794 of the family's 1533-position model. The record is from RNAcentral.
AGAGUUUGAUCAUGGUUCAGGAUGAACGUUGGCGGCGUGCCUAAUACAUGCAAGUCGAGAGAAUGGGAUUAAGAGCUUGCUCUUAUGAAGUUAGCGGCGGACGGGUGAGUAACACGUGGGUAACCUGCCCAUAAGACUGGGAUAACUCCGGGAAACCGGGGCUAAUACCGGAUAACAUUUUGAACCGCAUGGUUCGAAAUUGAAAGGCGGCUUUGGCUGUCACUUAUGGAUGGACCCGCGUCGCAUUAGCUAGUUGGUGAGGUAACGGCUCACCAAGGCAACGAUGCGUAGCCGACCUGAGAGGGUGAUCGGCCACACUGGGACUGAGACACGGCCCAGACUCCUACGGGAGGCAGCAGUAGGGAAUCUUCCGCAAUGGACGAAAGUCUGACGGAGCAACGCCGCGUGAGUGAUGAAGGCUUUCGGGUCGUAAAACUCUGUUGUUAGGGAAGAACAAGUGCUAGUUGAAUAAGCUGGCACCUUGACGGUACCUAACCAGAAAGCCACGGCUAACUACGUGCCAGCAGCCGCGGUAAUACGUAGGUGGCGAGCGUUAUCCGGAAUUAUUGGGCGUAAAGCGCGCGCAGGUGGUUUCUUAAGUCUGAUGUGAAAGCCCACGGCUCAACCGUGGAGGGUCAUUGGAAACUGGGAGACUUGAGUGCAGAAGAGGAAAGUGGAAUUCCAUGUGUAGCGGUGAAAUGCGUAGAGAUAUGGAGGAACACCAGUGGCGAAGGCGACUUUCUGGUCUGUAACUGACACUGAGGCGCGAAAGCGUGGGGAGCAAACGGGAUUAGAUACCCUGGUAGU